AGCAGCCGCGGUAAUACGGAGGGUGCAAGCGUUAAUCGGAAUUACUGGGCGUAAAGCGCACGCARGCKGUUUGUUAAGUCAGAUGUGAAAUCCCCGGGCUCAACCUGGGAACUGCAUCUGAUACUGGCAAGCUUGAGUCUCGUAGAGGGGGGUAGAAUUCCAGGUGUAGCGGUGAAAAUGCGUAAAGAUCUGGAGGAAUACCGGUGGCGAAGGCGGCCCCCUGAACAAAAACUGACCCUCAGGUGCAAAGCGUGGGGAGCAAAAGAUUAAAUACC
This 275-nucleotide ribosomal RNA is filed under the name uncultured bacterium. RNAcentral's name for it is "partial 16S ribosomal RNA". It matches the Rfam family "Bacterial small subunit ribosomal RNA", at positions 510 to 786 of the family's 1533-position model. The record is from RNAcentral.